AGAGAGUCGACUUGUGGCUGUGGGUGUAAGUUUAUGAUGCGCGGGGAGUGUUUUGAGAAAUGUUUUUCUAUUUCCGUUCAGUUUUAGCACGAGGAGACGUAUGGAUCGGCUAUCUUUACAGGACCAGGGUUUGUGGCCGUGUCACUUUUUGUCCUCCUGAGCUGUGGAGUGUGACAAUGGUGUUUGUAUCCUGUGUCGUCAAACGCCAUUAUCACACUAAAUAGCCAAGGUGUGACCUCACAACCUCAUCGGCCAAUCAGAGACGCAGUGGAACUCAAAGGCUGUGGAUUUGUGUUAUUGUAUUAUGAAAAUGGGAAUACUUGUGAGGGUACUUUUAUGACUCUGACAGCGUGCUUGAUUGAUCAUAGACUAGAAACCGAUGGCUUGUAUGCCCACUGACACAUUUUAUUGUAUCAGACAUUAUGUGACACAACUCUCUCAUAUUGUAUAUAACAUGGCACCCCAAGAAAACAGUUAUUUUAACAGAGGAAAAUGUGUAACAAUUUUAAAUAAAGAAACUAGGGUGACCUAGUCUUGAUGUAUGAA
Long non-coding RNA from Triplophysa dalaica, 546 nucleotides. RefSeq lists it as uncharacterized. The transcript is spliced from 2 exons. The record is from RefSeq and is a predicted model, not a curated record. Lineage: Eukaryota; Metazoa; Chordata; Actinopteri; Cypriniformes; Nemacheilidae.